This 522-nucleotide ribosomal RNA is filed under the name Stemonitis fusca. RNAcentral describes it as "partial small subunit ribosomal RNA". It matches the Rfam family "Eukaryotic small subunit ribosomal RNA", at positions 76 to 405 of the family's 1831-position model. Lineage: Eukaryota; Evosea; Eumycetozoa; Stemonitida; Stemonitidae. The record is from RNAcentral.
AUCUCUCGAAUCUGCGAACGGCUCCGCAAACCGGUUGUAAUUCAUUGUACGUCUAGCCCGGCGUCGGGCUCCUGCCCUCCGGGGUAGGGGCUGGAUCCGGGCACCGCUUAUAUGGAUAUCCCCUGGUAAUUCUGGGGCUAAUACAUGGCAUAAACACUGAACUGGCCCGGUCCCGGGGGCGUAGGCUUCGGCCGAAACCAUCAACCCGGGGUAUCCCGGGCCAGGGACGUGCGAGUCUUCCAACCAAGUUCGGCUUGGGGUCUCUUCUAACCUUCGGGACGGAACGCACGUCUGAACCUGCUCCCGUCUCGUGCGGGACCGGUUCCGGGCACCGAGCUUUCUUCUGGUUGCGGGUUCAGGUUAACCCCUGGGUUCGCCUCUGGGGAUUGCGGAGUCCUUGUACCGGGCAGGUGGGUACUGCGGCUUCCGACCUAUCAACUAGAAUGCGGUAAAAUGGGCUGCAAUGGUCACAACGGGUACAGAGGAUUAGGGUUCGAUCCUGGAGAGUGGGCCUGAGAGAUC